UCGAGCGAGGCCUGGGGGGCAACUCCCAGAGUCGAGCGGCGGACGGGUGAGUAACACGUGGGUAACCUGCCCGGAAGUGGGGAAUACCUCGGGGAAACUCGAGCUAAUACCGCAUGACAUCUCUGGGACGAGAGUCCUGAUGAUCAAAGCGGGGUCCCAAGAUCUCGCGCUACCGGAUGGGCCCGCGCCCGAUUAGCUAGUUGGUGAGGUAACGGCUCACCAAGGCUUCGAUCGGUAACCGGCCUGAGAGGGCGAUCGGUCACACCGGAACUGAGACACGGGCCGGACUCCUACGGGAGGCAGCAGUGGGGAAUCUUGCGCAAUGGGCGAAAGCCUGACGCAGCAGCGCCGCGUGGAGGAUGAAGGCCCUUGGGUUGUAAACUCCUGUCGGCUGGGAAGAAAUCAUACGGUGCUCAUACCACCGUGUGUUGACUGUACCAGCAAAGGAAGCCCCGGCUAACUCUGUGCCAGCAGCCGCGGUAAUACAGAGGGGGCUAGCGUUAUUCGGAAUUAUUGGGCGUAAAGGGCGCGUAGGCGGCCAUGCGUGUCUUCCGUGAAAUCCCUCGGCUUAACUGAGGACGUGCGGAAGAAACUGCAAGGCUCGAGUCCGGGAGAGGGGGGUGGAAUUCCCAGUGUAGCGGUGAAAUGCGUAGAUAUUGGGAGGAACACCGGUGGCGAAGGCGGCCCCCUGGACCGGUACUGACGCUGAUGCGCGAAAGCGUGGGUAGCAAACGGGAUUAGAUACCCCGGUAGUCCACGCCGUAAACGAUGGGCACUUGGUGUCGCGGGUAUCGACCCCUGCGGUGUCGAAGCUAGCGCAUUAAGUGCCC
RNAcentral lists this ribosomal RNA (830 nucleotides) under uncultured bacterium. Its description in RNAcentral is "bacterial SSU rRNA". It matches the Rfam family "Bacterial small subunit ribosomal RNA", at positions 62 to 869 of the family's 1533-position model. The record is from RNAcentral.